AUUGAACGCUGGCGGCAGGCCUAACACAUGCAAGUCGAACGGUAGCAGGGAGCAUGUUGCUGCUUUCCUGACGGGUCGCGUGCGUGUUGGUUAUGUCUCUGCCACUUCGUGAUGGAUGGGGUUCGCUAAUGGGAGCGGUUACUACUACCGCCUAGCGUGGCAAGGCCAGGGAGGGUGAGCUUCGAGCCUAUUGCCUUCGGCUAGGCCGGAUUAGCUUGUUGGUGGGGUAAGGGCCUACCAAGGCGACGAUCCGUAACUGGUCUGAGAGGAUGAUCAGUCACACUGGAACUGAGACACGGUCCAGACUCCUACGGGAGGCAGCAGUGGGGAAUAUUGGACAAUGGGCGCAAGCCUGAUGCAGCCAUGCCGCGUGUAUGAAGAAGGUCUUCGGGUUGUAAAGCACUUUCAGCUGGGAGGAAGGGAGGUAAGUUAAUACCUUGGCGUAUUGACGUUACCAGCAGAAGAAGCACCGGCUAACUUCGUG
RNAcentral lists this ribosomal RNA (484 nucleotides) under uncultured bacterium. RNAcentral's name for it is "partial 16S ribosomal RNA". It matches the Rfam family "Bacterial small subunit ribosomal RNA", at positions 30 to 507 of the family's 1533-position model. The record is from RNAcentral.